GACGAACGCUGGCGGCGGGCUUAACACAUGCAAGUCGAACGGAAAGGCCCUGCUUUUGUGGGGUGCUCGAGUGGCGAACGGGUGUGUAACACGUGAGUAACCUGCCCUUGACUUUGGGAUAACUUCAGGAAACUGGGGCUAAUACCGGAUAGGAGCUCCUGCUGCAUGGUGGGGGUUGGAAAGUUUCGGCGGUUGGGGAUGGACUCGCGGCUUAUCAGCUUGUUGGUGGGGUAGUGGCUUACCAAGGCUUUGACGGGUAGCCGGCCUGAGAGGGUGACCGGCCACAUUGGGACUGAGAGACGGCCCAGACUCCUACGGGAGGCAGCAGUGGGGAAUAUUGCACAAUGGGCGGAAGCCUGAUGCAGCAACGCCGCGUGCGGGAUGACGGCCUUCGGGUUGUAAACCGCUUUCGCCUGUGACGAAGCGUGAGUGACGGUAAUGGGUAAAGAAGCACCGGCUAACUACGUG
RNAcentral lists this ribosomal RNA (468 nucleotides) under uncultured bacterium. RNAcentral's name for it is "partial 16S ribosomal RNA". It matches the Rfam family "Bacterial small subunit ribosomal RNA", at positions 28 to 507 of the family's 1533-position model. The record is from RNAcentral.